UGAUGACAAAUCUCCGGAAUCUCUGUAUCUCUUUGAUGAUGCCCGAACCCUUUUAUCUGAUGACUGCCUGAAUUUCUAAGACAUC
Alosa alosa (allis shad) is the source of this 85-nucleotide small nucleolar RNA. RefSeq annotates it as small nucleolar RNA MBII-202. NCBI's taxonomy places the organism in Eukaryota, Metazoa, Chordata, Actinopteri, Clupeiformes, Clupeidae. The transcript has a single exon. The record is from RefSeq and is a predicted model, not a curated record.